GUUAUUAAGAAAUUGCACUCUUACUAAUAGAUUUUAGUGGCUAUGCUUAUGGGAUAAAUAAAAAUUGCCAUGAUCUGAAAAGGGAGGAUUGUGUGUGUGUGUGUGUGUGUCCUCCUCCUAUGUGAAAUGACUGGACAGAAAACU
Molecule: small nucleolar RNA, 144 nt
Filed under: Dasypus novemcinctus (nine-banded armadillo)
Lineage: Eukaryota; Metazoa; Chordata; Mammalia; Cingulata; Dasypodidae
Description: Small nucleolar RNA SNORA29 (ENSDNOG00000027796.1)
Rfam family: Small nucleolar RNA SNORA29
About the family: ACA29 is a member of the H/ACA class of snoRNA that guide the sites of modification of uridines to pseudouridines.
Source: RNAcentral